Molecule: ribosomal RNA, 433 nt
Filed under: uncultured bacterium
Lineage: Bacteria
Description: partial 16S ribosomal RNA
Rfam family: Bacterial small subunit ribosomal RNA
Source: RNAcentral
AGCGAACGCUGGCGGCAUGCCUAACACAUGCAAGUCGAACGAGACCUUCGGGUCUAGUGGCGCACGGGUGCGUAACGCGUGGGAACCUGCCCUUAGGUUCGGAAUAACUCCCCGAAAGGGGUGCUAAUACCGGAUAAUGUCUUCGGACCAAAGAUUUAUCGCCUUUGGAUGGGCCCGCGUUGGAUUAGCUAGUUGGUAGGGUAAAAGCCUACCAAGGCGACGAUCCAUAGCUGGUCUGAGAGGAUGAUCAGCCACACUGGGACUGAGACACGGCCCAGACUCCUACGGGAGGCAGCAGUGGGGAAUAUUGGACCAUGGGCGAAAGCCUGAUCCAGCAAUGCCGCGUGAGUGAUGAAGGCCUUAGGGUUGUAAAGCUCUUUUACCCGGGAUGAUAAUGACAGUACCGGGAGAAUAAGCUCCGGCUAACUCCGUG